GGUAGGGUUCCCGAGCGGCCAAAGGGAGCAGACUGUAAAUCUGCCGUCAUCGACUUCGAAGGUUCGAAUCCUUCCCCCACCACCA
This 85-nucleotide transfer RNA is filed under the name Escherichia coli. Its description in RNAcentral is "tRNA-Tyr". It matches the Rfam family "tRNA". Rfam says of the family: Transfer RNA (tRNA) molecules are approximately 80 nucleotides in length. The record is from RNAcentral. Lineage: Bacteria; Pseudomonadati; Pseudomonadota; Gammaproteobacteria; Enterobacterales; Enterobacteriaceae. RNAcentral also lists the same sequence under 7 other names.